This is a small nucleolar RNA of Gasterosteus aculeatus aculeatus (three-spined stickleback), 138 nucleotides long. Ensembl annotates it as Small nucleolar RNA SNORA79. Its record names the gene SNORA79. The record is from Ensembl. Lineage: Eukaryota; Metazoa; Chordata; Actinopteri; Perciformes; Gasterosteidae.
CGACGUCGGUUCCUCCUCCUGACUGCAGUGGAUCAGGAGGAUUUUACGAGGUCGUAGAGUAACGAGUCUGUUUCACCCAGAGAGCUUCAGGCCACGGCUUCGCUCACGGCUUCCUGGUUUUGCGAGACUCUAUAAAAU